AGUGAACGCUGGCGGUAGGCCUAACACAUGCAAGUUGAACGGCAGCACAGGAGAGCUUGCUCUCUGGGUGGCGAGUGGCGGACGGGUGAGGAAUACAUCGGAAUCUACUCUGUCGUGGGGGAUAACGUAGGGAAACUUACGCUAAUACCGCAUACGACCUACAGGUGAAAGCAGGGGAUCUUCGGACCUUGCGCGAUUGAAUGAGCCGAUGUCGGAUUAGCUAGUUGGCGGGGUAAAGGCCCACCAAGGCGACGAUCCGUAGCUGGUCUGAGAGGAUGAUCAGCCGCACUGGAACUGGGACACGUUCCAGACUCCUACGGGAGGCAGCAGUGGGGAAUAUUGAACAAUGGGCGCAAGCCUGGUCCAGCCAUACCGCGUGGGUGAAGAAGGCCUUCGGGUUGUAAAGCCCUUUUGUUGGGAAAGAAAUCCAUCUGGUUAAUACCCGGGUGGGAUGACGUUACCCAAAGAAUAAGCACCGGCUAACUUCGUGCCAGCCGCCGCCGUAA
Molecule: ribosomal RNA, 506 nt
Filed under: uncultured bacterium
Lineage: Bacteria
Description: partial 16S ribosomal RNA
Rfam family: Bacterial small subunit ribosomal RNA
Source: RNAcentral